GUCCACGCCCUAAACGAUGAUCACUCGAUGUGUGCGAUAUACAGUACGCGUCAAAGCGAAAGCGUUAAGUGAUCCACCUGGGGAGUACGGUCGCAAGAUUGAAACUCAAAGGAAUUGACGGGGGCCCGCACAAGCGGAGGAGCAUGUGGUUUAAUUCGAUGAUACGCGAGGAACCUUACCCGGGCUUGAAAGUUAGUGAAGGAUUCAGAAAUGAGUCCGUCCGCAAGGACACGAAACUAGGUGCUGCAUGGCUGUCGU
This 258-nucleotide ribosomal RNA is filed under the name uncultured bacterium. RNAcentral's name for it is "partial 16S ribosomal RNA". It matches the Rfam family "Bacterial small subunit ribosomal RNA", at positions 793 to 1055 of the family's 1533-position model. The record is from RNAcentral.